AACGAACGCUGGCGGCAGGCUUAACACAUGCAAGUCGAGCGGGGAAAGGUAGCUUGCUACUUUACCUAGCGGCGGACGGGUGAGUAAUGCUUAGGAAUCUGCCUAUUAGUGGGGGACAACAUCUCGAAAGGGAUGCUAAUACCGCAUACGUCCUACGGGAGAAAGCAGGGGAUCACUUGUGACCUUGCGCUAAUAGAUGAGCCUAAGUCGGAUUAGCUAGUUGGUGGGGUAAAGGCCUACCAAGGCGACGAUCUGUAGCGGGUCUGAGAGGAUGAUCCGCCACACUGGGACUGAGACACGGCCCAGACUCCUACGGGAGGAAGCAGUGGGGAAUAUUGGACAAUGGGGGGAACCCUGAGCCAGCCAUGCCGCGUGUGUGAAGAAGGCCUUAUGGUUGUAAAGCACUUUAAGCGAGGAGGAGGCUCUUUUGGUUAAUACCCAAGAUGAGUGGACGUUACUCGCAGAAUAAGCACCGGCUAACUCUGUGCCAGCAGCCGCCGUAA
Molecule: ribosomal RNA, 503 nt
Filed under: uncultured bacterium
Lineage: Bacteria
Description: partial 16S ribosomal RNA
Rfam family: Bacterial small subunit ribosomal RNA
Source: RNAcentral